Molecule: long non-coding RNA, 1832 nt
Filed under: Nilaparvata lugens (brown planthopper)
Lineage: Eukaryota; Metazoa; Arthropoda; Insecta; Hemiptera; Delphacidae
Description: uncharacterized LOC111048967
Source: RNAcentral
UGUGGACAAGGUUGGAACUAGUGGUUCGCCUCGUGGUCUCUAGCGGGCUGGGCGACGCCACGAUCACUUCCUUUCCGUGUUUAGCUUCUCAAUCUUUCUUGUGCUCGUCUUAAAUUGCGUCGAUUACAAGUUGAAAAAGUGAUUUAAUUAUUCUGUUUUUGUGACUUGACAUGCUGGUGUGAUCGAAAAUCGUGUGUAUUGAGGUGGGAGUGUGUAAACUGGUGUGGAUUAUUGGGAUUUUGUGGCCGGCUAGGUUUGGCCGAUGUUAUGAAUGGCUGCCGGUCCAACUACAACGCUCGCCGCGUGGGUUUACUAAAACUGUUCACUCAGCUCUGUUUUGACUAGUACAUCACAAAAAAGAAAUGAUGUUCGUCAAUAAUAUGACCUGUUGUCUGUCUAUUUCAUGGCCUUGGAUGAAUGAAUUGGUGACAACCAGUAAGAUGUGCAGAUGGCGGAAGUGGAGGCUGACAAAAACUCAAAUAUCAUCAAUCAAGCCCGUUGAUGGAACUCUCACUGAGUGAGAAAGAGUGAUGCGCAUUCACAUGAUGGACACUGCUAAUAUGCAGAAUGUCGCCUUCUCAUUCCUGUAGCAGGCAACAGGAAGGGAUUGGAGGAUUUCACUUACGGGAUGAAUGAUCACAUGUGAAGAUAUUUGGAAAGGAGUUCUCACUGCGAGAAUUCUUCACCCUGUACAAGCUCUGAAGAUCGUCCAAUAGUUGUUCAGGCUUCAUGCUAUGGGGUUCUAUGGAUAGUUGAAUACCUGGAAAAAGUCCACAUGGGUUUCUGUCAUGAAUCUACACAAGAAAAUUUUCGUCAUUAGAUUGAAGCCAUCAUUCUCUGCUGGAUGAUCUAUAGCAACCAGGUUAUUUUGUUUUAGUUUAGCUUUAUAUUUUCUACGACUAUUUUCUGGAUUUUUUUGUAAUUUAUUCAAUGUAUGGCUCCUGGUAAUCUUGUGAUACUUUAUCACUUCACAAAUAGAAACUUAUGUUUUAGAAAUUCAUUUUUUUUGAAAUCCUUAGUAUAGAAAACGUAAUAUUUAUUAGGGAAAGAUCAAACUCAAAAUAUUUUCAAGCCAAAAUUGAUUUUCAUUCAAACUUGACUUGUUCAUAUUCUAACCUAACUCGUAAUCUUAUGAGUCACUUUUUCACUCUUACAAUGUGCUUGUUGAGUCCGGAGGCGUUACAAGGCAUAGAGUCAAGUAAACAUAUGCCACGCCCUACAACAUUUGACUGUUUCUUUUACCAAUUUUGCACGUAGUGCUUUUAUGUGGUGCUUAAGUCUCACCGAUCUUAGCUGGAUUCCCACAUGCCAGUUUCAGUACUCAGUGAAAAUAUUAUUCCCAUAUUGAGUUUCAAUGGAACUAUUCCUUAAAUAAGAUUAGUAGAAUUGAUGGUGAUGUUGUGAAAUCUCUCCAUAAUAAGAAAACAAAGAUAUUGUCAAAUUUCACUGAAGAUUUAUUAAAAACUUUAAAACAGUACCAUGGUUUCACGUUUACCAACGCAUCAUCAGCUGUACUGAGAAAUAAGGAUACAGAAACCUUCUUAACCCAAUCUCAGUAGCCUAGAGCUCCUAAAUAGUUGGGUGGCAAUAGUUAUAACUAGAGUAAUGAAUAUUUAAAAUAUAAUACACCUUAUUAGUUAGAUUCUAGGUAAAAUUAACUUUUUUCAAUAAAAAUAUUAAUAGGAAACUGGAUAAAGAAUUUUUUUUAUUUUUCUCUUUGAAAUGACCACUAUAUACAGCUGGUCUGUCACUCUGUCUCUGACUUGGAGACUGUCUAUCAUGUCUUUGGUAUUUGGCUUGACAAACUAUAUUUGAGAAAAAAAUUACUUGAA